This 137-nucleotide unclassified non-coding RNA is filed under the name uncultured Basidiomycota. Its description in RNAcentral is "sequence contains ITS1". Lineage: Eukaryota; Fungi; Basidiomycota. The record is from RNAcentral.
AUGAAAUGCUAGGACGCUCUCUUUAGAGGUCCGACCUUUCAUUCUCCCUACACUGUGAACCCAAUUUUUACACCAUUUUUAAACGCACGAGUCUUAAAGAAUGUCACAAGUCUCUUAAUUGAGCAUGAAACUUGUAA